RNAcentral lists this long non-coding RNA (659 nucleotides) under Capsicum annuum. RNAcentral describes it as "long non-coding RNA (CANN_LNC008812)". Lineage: Eukaryota; Viridiplantae; Streptophyta; Magnoliopsida; Solanales; Solanaceae. The record is from RNAcentral.
UUUUUUUUUCAAUUUUUGCUUUGAUCUCUCAAUCUGUUGACAAACAUUGUGCUCCAUAUUAUUUGCAUCUCAUCUUUUCAUAUAAUUUAUAAAAAAAAAUUUCAUAUUGCUUUCUUCUUCGUUUUUUUUGUUUUGAUGUUUUGUGAUUUUUUUGGUGUUUUUCAAGUCAAAGGAUGUCGUUUCUGACGAUGGGUGGGCUAGUUGCUUCGACUGGACUCAUCGAUUUCAGCAUUUCUCGGUGGAUUUUCAACAAAGAGAGAGUCUAUCCGUCAAAUUUCACCGUGAUUGUGAUCGGCAGCGGCAUUAAUGUUGUUUUACCGGCGAGUAUUAGCCGAAAUUGAUCAAUGGGAUUGAAUUUUAGUUGGUGGUUUGUUGAUUUUGCAGAUCCGGUGAGGGACGGGCUUGGCCAUCCUUUUUAUGGGUUUUCCGAUGAUGUGAUCGCGGCGUGUCGGUAUAUUUCGAUCAGAUUUCUAUAAAAUGUAAUUUUUACAGUAUAGAUAUGUAUUUAUAUUUGGUAAUUAUAAGAUUUGUAUUUGAAUUUGGUACUGAUAAGAUUUGUAUUUGUUACAGUGUAGAUAUCGAUUUGUAUUUGGUAUUGUAAGAUUUGUAUUUGUUUCAAUAUAGAUAUGCAUUUUUUUAUUUAUAAUCUUAUAUUUUAU